AUGGAGUCACAGACCCAGGUCCUCAUAUCCCUGCUGCUUUGGGUGUCUGGUGCCUGUGCAGACAUUGUUGUGACCCAGUCUCCAUCCUCCCUGGCUGUGUCAGCAGGAGAGAAGGUCACCAUCAACUGCAGGUCCAGUCAGAGACUUUCAUACAGCAAAGACCCAAAGAACUAUGUGGCCUGGUACCAGCAAAAACCAGGGCAGUCCCCUAAGCUGCUGGUCUACCAUACAUCCUCUCUGGAAAAAGGGGUCUUUGAUCGCUUCAUAGGCAGUGGAUCUGAGAUUUUUUACACUCUCACCAUCACGAGAGUGCAGGCGGAAGACCUGGCAGUUUAUUACUGUCAGAGGGGUUACAACAAUGUUCCCACA
Psammomys obesus (fat sand rat) is the source of this 369-nucleotide non-coding RNA. NCBI's taxonomy places the organism in Eukaryota, Metazoa, Chordata, Mammalia, Rodentia, Muridae. The record is from the annotation of a RefSeq genome assembly.